RNAcentral lists this ribosomal RNA (257 nucleotides) under uncultured prokaryote. RNAcentral describes it as "partial 16S ribosomal RNA". It matches the Rfam family "Bacterial small subunit ribosomal RNA", at positions 524 to 780 of the family's 1533-position model. The record is from RNAcentral.
UACGGAGGAUGCAAGCGUUAUCCGGAUUCAUUGGGUUUAAAGGGUGCGUAGGCGGGCUAUUAAGUCAGUGGUGAAAUCCUGCAGCUUAACUGCAGAACUGCCGUUGAUACUGAUAGUCUUGAGUUUGGUUAAGGUAGGCGGAAUGUGUAAUGUAGCGGUGAAAUGCUUAGAUAUUACACAGAACACCAAUUGCGUAGGCAGCUUACUGAGCCGACACCGACGCUGAGGCACGAAAGCGUGGGGAUCAAACAGGAUUA